AGAGUUGCUUGGUCUGUCGCUUGUUCGUGAGAGCAAGAGGAAAGUCCGGGCAGUGCAGAGCAAUUUGCUUCUUAACGGGAAGAUAUCCGUGAGGGUAUGGCAUUGUAGAAGAAAAUAACCGCCGCAAGGUAAGGGUGAGAACGUGAGGUAAGAGCUCACGACGGCUUGUAGCGAUAUAUGUCGUGUACAACCCGAAUGCUGAAAGUUCAAGUAUACCAGCGUCUGAGAGCUGCUCGUUCGAUACACAAAACGCUGGAGGGUAGAACGAUAGAGUCUGGCGGUGACGUCAGAUGUAGAUAAAUGACAGAGACAGAAAUGUUACAGAACCCGGCUUAUAGAGCGACUCUUUUU
RNAcentral lists this RNase P RNA (351 nucleotides) under Prevotellaceae bacterium. RNAcentral describes it as "RNase P RNA component class A". It matches the Rfam family "Bacterial RNase P class A". From Rfam's summary of the family: Ribonuclease P (RNase P) is a ubiquitous endoribonuclease, found in archaea, bacteria and eukarya as well as chloroplasts and mitochondria. Its best characterised activity is the generation of mature 5'-ends of tRNAs by cleaving the 5'-leader elements of precursor-tRNAs. Cellular RNase Ps are ribonucleoproteins. The record is from RNAcentral. Lineage: Bacteria; Pseudomonadati; Bacteroidota; Bacteroidia; Bacteroidales; Prevotellaceae.